AUAACGAGUAUGGAAAAUGAGGGUAAUUUGGUAAAUGCUAAUGGGACGACUUGGGCAGGUUCAAAGUAUCAGAUUGAAUGUACAAUGUGCGCCGCAUGUGACAACCCUUGCACCACUCCAUCUCCGCCGCCACCUCAGCCGCCGUCGCCUCCACCGCCUUCUACCUCUUAUAAUUGCCCUCCUCCACCAUCUCACCCUAGUUCCGGGGGAAAUUACUACUACUACUCUCCACCGCCACCACCGCCUUCUUCCUUGGGCGGCGGCGGAGGGAAUUACUACUAUUCACCACCUCCACCUUACCAAAAUUACCCUUCUGGACCUACUCCUCCACCUCCAAAUCCAAUUGUUCCGUAUUUCCCGUUCUACUUUUAUAAUCCUCCACCGC
RNAcentral lists this long non-coding RNA (385 nucleotides) under Solanum tuberosum (potato). RNAcentral describes it as "long non-coding RNA (STUB_LNC001372)". The record is from RNAcentral. Lineage: Eukaryota; Viridiplantae; Streptophyta; Magnoliopsida; Solanales; Solanaceae.